Molecule: ribosomal RNA, 365 nt
Filed under: uncultured Pseudomonas sp.
Lineage: Bacteria; Pseudomonadati; Pseudomonadota; Gammaproteobacteria; Pseudomonadales; Pseudomonadaceae
Description: bacterial SSU rRNA
Rfam family: Bacterial small subunit ribosomal RNA
Source: RNAcentral
GGUUUGGGGUUAGUCCGUACGAGCGCACCCUUGUCCUUAGUUACCAGCACGUUAAGGUGGGCACUCUAAGGAGACUGCCGGUGACAAACCGGAGGAAGGUGGGGAUGACGUCAAGUCAUCAUGGCCCUUACGGCCUGGGCUACACACGUGCUACAAUGGUCGGUACAAAGGGUUGCCAAGCCGCGAGGUGGAGCUAAUCCCAUAAAACCGAUCGUAGUCCGGAUCGCAGUCUGCAACUCGACUGCGUGAAGUCGGAAUCGCUAGUAAUCGUGAAUCAGAAUGUCACGGUGAAUACGUUCCCGGGCCUUGUACACACCGCCCGUGGGGCGGGGGCGGCGGGCCGGGCGCGGGGCGCGGGCGGGCGA